This is a long non-coding RNA of Oncorhynchus kisutch (coho salmon), 1168 nucleotides long. RefSeq lists it as uncharacterized. The record is from RefSeq and is a predicted model, not a curated record. The transcript is spliced from 2 exons. Lineage: Eukaryota; Metazoa; Chordata; Actinopteri; Salmoniformes; Salmonidae.
ACACAACACAAUGCCACAGAUGUCUCAAGUUUUGAAGAAGCAUGACUUUGGCAUGCUGACUGCAGGGAUGUCCACCAGAGCUGUUGUCAGAGAAAUUAAUGUUAAUUUCACUACCAUUAGCUGCCUGCAAUGUCAUUUUAGAGAAUUUGGCAGUACGUCCAACCGGCCUCACAAACGCAGACCACGUGUAACCAAGACAGCCUCCAAAUCCAGCCAUAGAUAGCCACUGAAACUGUGGGUUUGGACAACCGAAGAAGAAACCGACUCAGGGAAGAUCAUCUGCAUGCUCGUCAUCCUCACCAUGGUCUUGACCUGACUGCACGUCUGCGUUGUAACCGACUUCCGUGGACAAAUGCUCACCUUCGAGGCUACUGGCACGGUGGAUGAGUGUGCUCUUUACGGUUGACUUUUCAACUGUACCGGGCAGAUAUCAGACAGCCUGUAUGAUGUCAUGUGGGCGAGCGGUUUGUGGAGAUUAAAGUUGUGAACAGAGUGCCCCAUGGUGGGGUUAUGGUAUGGGCAGGCAUAAGCUACGGACAAUGAACACAACUUCAUUUUAUUGAUGGCAAUUUGAAUGCACAGAGAAACUGUGAUGAGAUACUGAGGCCCAGUCGUGCCAAUCAUCCGCUGCCAUCACCUUCAGCAUGAUAAUAAUGCCCAUCUUGUAAGGAUAUGUACACAAUUCCAGGAAGCUGAAAAUGUCUCAGUUCUUCCAUGGCCUGCAUACCUACCAAGAUAUGUCAACCAUUGAGUAUGUUUGGGAUGCUCUGGAUUGAUAUGUACGACAGCGUAUUCCAACUCCCACCAAUAUCCAGCAACUUUGCAAAUCCAUUGAAUAGGAGUGGGACAAUAUUCCACAGGCCACAAUCAACAGCCUGAUCAUCUCUAUGAGACGGAAACAUUUUACGCUGCUGACGUGUUUUCUGAGCCACGCCCCCAACUUUUUUUUAAGUUACGUCUCUGUCUCCUGUUCCACAUCUCACCACCCAACUACCUUGCUUUGGUUUUUACUCACCAUCACCACCUUGGAUUCUCCUCAGGAUCUGUUUACCUUGUUGUACUCAGCCAACCUCAGUCUCCACAUCUGAUUUUUCUGCAACUCAUCCGAGCUUCCCCGGAUCUGCACUCCAUGUCUCUCUGUGUAACAAUAAAUAUUUUGGUUCAUUCA